UGUUAAGGGAUGGGAAUCGAACCCACGACCUUCCGCUUACCGGGCAGAUGCCAUGACCACUAGGCUACCCUGGAC
RNAcentral lists this transfer RNA (75 nucleotides) under Cordylochernes scorpioides. Its description in RNAcentral is "tRNA-Thr". The record is from RNAcentral. Lineage: Eukaryota; Metazoa; Arthropoda; Arachnida; Pseudoscorpiones; Chernetidae.